Molecule: unclassified non-coding RNA, 169 nt
Filed under: soil metagenome
Description: partial internal transcribed spacer 1
Source: RNAcentral
GUGAAUUAAACAUGCUUGGUGUCUUCGCUUCGGCAAGGCCCUUGCUUAAAUCACAUCCUAACACCUGUUGAACUGUAAGACGUAUGAUGAGGUCUUUGGCCAAGUCAUCGUCUGCCCAUUUUUAACAAACAAUUAAUGUAACAAACGUAGUCUUAUUAUAACCUAAUAA